Molecule: ribosomal RNA, 238 nt
Filed under: Glomeromycotina sp.
Lineage: Eukaryota; Fungi; Glomeromycota
Description: partial small subunit ribosomal RNA
Rfam family: Eukaryotic small subunit ribosomal RNA (bases 40-238)
Source: RNAcentral
GGGUCAGUAGGUUGGUCGUGCCACCGGUACGUACUGGUCUCACUGAUUCCUCCUUCCUGAAGAACCGUAAUGCCAUUAAUUUGGUGUUGCGGGGAAACAGGACUGUUACUUUGAAAAAAUUAGAGUGUUUAAAGCAAGCUAACGCUUGAAUACAUUAGCAUGGAAUAAUUAAAUAGGACGAUCGAUCCUAUUUUGUUGGUUUCUAGGAUUGACGUAAUGAUUAAUAGGCAUAUUUGGG